ACCAGGGCCUGGGAGGGAUGAUGUACCAAGUGAGCUGAAUGGAAUCACUUGGCAGCACUGUAGGCCCAAGCCAGAGCUGCUCUGACAUCCCAGGCCCAGG
This is a small nucleolar RNA of Homo sapiens (human), 100 nucleotides long. The record is from RefSeq and is marked provisional. Lineage: Eukaryota; Metazoa; Chordata; Mammalia; Primates; Hominidae.